This 2166-nucleotide ribosomal RNA is filed under the name Gangesia parasiluri. RNAcentral describes it as "SSU rRNA". It matches the Rfam family "Eukaryotic small subunit ribosomal RNA". The record is from RNAcentral. Lineage: Eukaryota; Metazoa; Platyhelminthes; Cestoda; Proteocephalidea; Proteocephalidae.
CAGUAGUCAUAUGCUUGUCUCAGAGAUUAAGCCAUGCAUGUCUCAGUGCACGCCUUUAUACGGUGAAACCGCGAAUGGCUCAUUAAAUCAGCUAUGGUUUAUUGGAUCAUACCCGUUAAAUGGAUAACUGUAAUAACUCUAGAGCUAAUACAUGCCACGAUGCCCUGACCCUUACGGGGAUGGGUGCACUUAUUAGAUCAGAAGCCAACCGUGCAUGGCCGCCAGCCUCGGCGGGUGGUUGUGUGCGUUGACCUUCUGGUGACUCUGGAUAAUUGUUACAGAUCGCAGUCGGCCUUGAGUCGGCGACGGGUCCUUCAAAUGUCUGCCCUAUCAACUUUCGAUGGUAGGUGACCUGCCUACCAUGGUGAUAACGGGUAACGGGGAAUCAGGGUUCGAUUCCGGAGAGGGAGCCUGAGAAACGGCUACCACUUCCAAGGGAGGCAGCAGGCGCGCAAAUUACCCACUCCCAGUACGGGGAGGUGGUGACGAAAAAUACCGAUGCGGGACUCCUUAACGAGGCUCCGUAAUCGGAAUGAGUGAACUAUAAAUCCUUUCACGAGGAUCAAUUGGAGGGCAAGUCUGGUGCCAGCAGCCGCGGUAACUCCAGCUCCAAUAGCGUAUAUUAAGGUUGCUGCAGUUAAAAAGCUCGUAGUUGGAUCUCGGUAUCACUGUCGCGCGCCAGUCCUCUGGUGAGCGGUUGCUGCAUUACAUGCGUCCACGUGUCGUAGGUGUGUGUGCGGCCGUCUUGCUGGAGUUGGCGAUGUGGUGGUGUCACCUUUGAGCCAUGUCUGUGGUGAAAUACCCGCAGGUGUAGGCGAGUGUCAGGCGGUGCCUAGCGCAAGCUGGGCUCGUCGGCUCGUCUGCAUGCCUUUGGAUGCCCUUCAAAAGGUGUCUGUUGGCGGAUGGCACGUUUACUUUGAACAAAUUUGAGUGCUCAAACCAGGCCGAUGUUGCCUGAAAAGUUUUGCAUGGAAUAAUGGAAUAGGACUUCGGUUCUAUUUCGUUGGUUUUCGGAUCCGAAGUAAUGAUCAAAAGAGACAGGCGGGGACGUUUGUAUGGCUGCGCUAGAGGUGAAAUUCAUGGACCGUAGCCAGACAAACUAAAGCGAAAGCAUUCGUCAAGCAUGUUUUCAUUGGCCAUGAGCGAAAGUCAGAGGCUCGAAGACGAUCAGAYACCGUCCUAGUUCUGACCAUAAACGAUGCCAACUGACGAUCCGUGGUGGUAGUUCAUCAACCUUCCCCACGGGCAGUCCCCGGGAAACCUUUAAGUCUUUGGGUUCCGGGGGAAGUAUGGUUGCAAAGCUGAAACUUAAAGGAAUUGACGGAAGGGCACCACCAGGAGUGGAGCCUGCGGCUUAAUUUGACUCAACACGGGAAAACUCACCCGGCCCGGACACUAUGAGGAUUGACAGAUUGAAAGCUCUUUCUUGAUUUGGUGGUUGGUGGUGCAUGGCCGUUCUUAGUUGGUGGAGCGAUUUGUCUGGUUAAUUCCGAUAACGAACGAGACUCCUGCCUGCUAAUUAGUGCGCCUGUCUACUGUACCUGCGUAGGCGGUGUUUGACGAAGCUGGCCUCUAAAAGCUGCCGUCGAGUGGAUUUGUGUGCGUGCGUGUGUGUGUGUGUGUUUGGCUUGCCUUCUUCCGAGGGUGAGUUGGCAUACCUGCAUGCGUGUAUGCAUGCAUGCCUGCUUGUAUGUGUGGUGGGGUUGGCUGGUUCGGCAUUAGUCUCCGGGUGCGGCGCGGGCGUUUACUUCUUAGAGGGACAAGCGGGAGAAGCCGCACGAAAUAGAGCAAUAACAGGUCUGUGAUGCCCUUAGAUGUCCGGGGCCGCACGCGCGCUACAAUGACGGUGGCAAUGAGUCUGACCUUCUGGCCCGAAAGGGUUGGGCAAACUGGUCAAUCACCGUCAUGACAGGGAUCGGGGCUUGGAAUUGUUCCCCGUGAACGAGGAAUUCCUAGUAAGUGCAAGUCAUAAGCUUGCGCUGAUUACGUCCCUGCCCUUUGUACACACCGCCCGUCGCUACUACCGAUUGAAUGGUUUAGUAAGGUCCUUGGAUUGGCGCCAUUGUGGUGGUUGCCGAGAGGUGGCCACCCGGCAGGUGCUGAGAAGACGACCAAACUUGAUCAUUUAGAGGAAGUAAAAGUCGUAACAAGGUUUCCGUAGGUGAA